Long non-coding RNA from Aptenodytes forsteri (emperor penguin), 754 nucleotides. RefSeq lists it as uncharacterized. The transcript is spliced from 7 exons. The record is from RefSeq and is a predicted model, not a curated record. NCBI's taxonomy places the organism in Eukaryota, Metazoa, Chordata, Aves, Sphenisciformes, Spheniscidae.
CAGCUGUCGUUGGAAUUGGUGCUUGGAGUGCUGGCGAAUGCUGGUGAAUGAAGUCGGCCUAAACACCGCGAUGAGAAGAGGUGUUUUCGUGAGAGGUAUGAUGGAGAGGAAGUUUUCAGUGGUGCCCAAAACAUUAUACAGAAGCAGGAAGUCCUUCAUGGAAGCACCAUCAGAAGUAGAAGAAUACUUGGUACACACAAGUGGAUUUUCCUGAAAGCUAUAAUGGCAUGAACAGUUUCUAAUAAUGGGAAUGUCAGGCGUCCUGAUGAAAGAUUUCCUGGCAACUGUAGUACAACAGAUAGAGAGAUGCUUGAAGGCUGCUUCUCAAUUGAAGGAAAAUGGUCAAAAAUGUAGGAACAAAUGCUUUUAGCUUAUUCAGUGAUGAGUUGGAACACUUCGUCAGUGCUGCCUGACAAAUGUGGAUGACCUGUAACUGGAAGGAAGUGUAACACCCAAAGAGUUUUUGUGGCUUGGAGUGGGACGCCACGCUUUUCAAAGCCUGCUGAAACAGCUGCUGCAAUUUUGUUUAGCAGAUACUGUUUUCAGAAACUGCAUGUGAACCAAAAUCACUGUCUCUGCAUAUUUAAAAUAGUGCUUUUCCCAAAACAUUGAGCUGCCCUCUGUAGGAAGGAUAGCAGCGAUAUUAGGGAAAUGAGUGUUGAGCUUCAAUACAUGGAAAAAACCCUGAGACUAUUUGCCCUUUUAAAAUAUUAUAAGGUUGUACAGACUUGUUGAUACUGAAAAUCUGUAAUAA